This 780-nucleotide ribosomal RNA is filed under the name Streptomyces sp. RNAcentral describes it as "bacterial SSU rRNA". It matches the Rfam family "Bacterial small subunit ribosomal RNA", at positions 56 to 852 of the family's 1533-position model. The record is from RNAcentral. Lineage: Bacteria; Bacillati; Actinomycetota; Actinomycetes; Kitasatosporales; Streptomycetaceae.
UGCAGUCGACGAUGAACCACUUCGGUGGGGAUUAGUGGCGAACGGGUGAGUAACACGUGGGCAAUCUGCCCUGCACUCUGGGACAAGCCCUGGAAACGGGGUCUAAUACCGGAUACUGACCCGCUUGGGCAUCCAAGCGGUUCGAAAGCUCCGGCGGUGCAGGAUGAGCCCGCGGCCUAUCAGCUUGUUGGUGAGGUAAUGGCUCACCAAGGCGACGACGGGUAGCCGGCCUGAGAGGGCGACCGGCCACACUGGGACUGAGACACGGCCCAGACUCCUACGGGAGGCAGCAGUGGGGAAUAUUGCACAAUGGGCGAAAGCCUGAUGCAGCGACGCCGCGUGAGGGAUGACGGCCUUCGGGUUGUAAACCUCUUUCAGCAGGGAAGAAGCGAAAGUGACGGUACCUGCAGAAGAAGCGCCGGCUAACUACGUGCCAGCAGCCGCGGUAAUACGUAGGGCGCGAGCGUUGUCCGGAAUUAUUGGGCGUAAAGAGCUCGUAGGCGGCUUGUCACGUCGGUUGUGAAAGCCCGGGGCUUAACCCCGGGUCUGCAGUCGAUACGGGCAGGCUAGAGUUCGGUAGGGGAGAUCGGAAUUCCUGGUGUAGCGGUGAAAUGCGCAGAUAUCAGGAGGAACACCGGUGGCGAAGGCGGAUCUCUGGGCCGAUACUGACGCUGAGGAGCGAAAGCGUGGGGAGCGAACAGGAUUAGAUACCCUGGUAGUCCACGCCGUAAACGGUGGGCACUAGGUGUGGGCGACAUUCCACGUCGUCCGUGCCGCAGC